RNAcentral lists this transfer RNA (54 nucleotides) under Drosophila albomicans. Its description in RNAcentral is "tRNA-Tyr". The record is from RNAcentral. RNAcentral also lists the same sequence under 2 other names. Lineage: Eukaryota; Metazoa; Arthropoda; Insecta; Diptera; Drosophilidae.
AAUGAUUAAGAAGAAUAACUCUUAUAAAUAGAUUUACAAUCUAUUGCCUAAACU